This 78-nucleotide transfer RNA is filed under the name Fretibacterium fastidiosum. Its description in RNAcentral is "tRNA-Pro (GGG) (tRNA-Pro-GGG-1-1)". It matches the Rfam family "tRNA". From Rfam's summary of the family: Transfer RNA (tRNA) molecules are approximately 80 nucleotides in length. Their secondary structure includes four short double-helical elements and three loops (D, anti-codon, and T loops). Further hydrogen bonds mediate the characteristic L-shaped molecular structure. tRNAs have two regions of fundamental functional importance: the anti-codon, which is responsible for specific mRNA codon recognition, and the 3' end, to which the tRNAs corresponding amino acid is attached (by aminoacyl-tRNA synthetases). tRNAs cope with the degeneracy of the genetic code in two manners: having more than one tRNA (with a specific anti-codon) for a particular amino acid; and 'wobble' base-pairing, i.e. permitting non-standard base-pairing at the 3rd anti-codon position. RNAcentral also lists the same sequence under 3 other names. The record is from RNAcentral. Lineage: Bacteria; Thermotogati; Synergistota; Synergistia; Synergistales; Aminobacteriaceae.
CGGGACGUAGCGCAGUCUGGCUAGCGCAUCUGCAUGGGGUGCAGGGGGUCGGAGGUUCGAAUCCUCUCGUCCCGACCA